CACCGCGGUUAUACGGAUGGCCUAUGUUGAUAGACGUACGGCGUAAAGUGUGGUUAAGAAAACUUUAAAGUAAAGCAGAACCUUUCCAGAACAGUUAAAUGUGCCUGAAAAAGUAGAACUUCAACCACGAAGGUGGCUUUAUAACCCUGACUCCACUAAAGCUAAGAAA
This 169-nucleotide ribosomal RNA is filed under the name Osopsaron formosensis. RNAcentral's name for it is "partial 12S rRNA". Lineage: Eukaryota; Metazoa; Chordata; Actinopteri; Pempheriformes; Percophidae. The record is from RNAcentral.